AGUUUGAUCCUGGCUCAGGAUGAACGCUAGCGACAGGCUUAACACAUGCAAGUCGAGGGGCAGCGGGGGAUAAGCUUGCUUUUCCUGCCGGCGACCGGCGCACGGGUGAGUAACACGUAUCCAACCUGCCCAUCACUUGGGGAUAACCUUGCGAAAGUAAGACUAAUACCCAAUGAUAUCUCUAGAAGACAUCUGAAGGAGAUUAAAGAUUUAUCGGUGAUGGAUGGGGAUGCGUCUGAUUAGCUUGUUGGCGGGGUAACGGCCCACCAAGGCGACGAUCAGUAGGGGUUCUGAGAGGAAGGUCCCCCACAUUGGAACUGAGACACGGUCCAAACUCCUACGGGAGGCAGCAGUGAGGAAUAUUGGUCAAUGGACGAGAGUCUGAACCAGCCAAGUAGCGUGCAGGAUGACGGCCCUAUGGGUUGUAAACUGCUUUUAUAAGGGAAUAAAGUGAGCUACGUGUAGCUUUUUGCAUGUACCUUAUGAAUAAGGACCGGCUAAUUCCGUGCCAGCAGCCGCGGUAAUACGGAAGGUCCGGGCGUUAUCCGGAUUUAUUGGGUUUAAAGGGUGCGUAGGCUGUGCGUCAAGUCGGGGGUGAAAUUCCGGUGCUCAACACCGGGGCUGCCCUUGAUACUGUCGCGCUGGAGUGCGGAUGCCGCCGGAGGAAUGAGUGGUGUAGCGGUGAAAUGCUUAGAUAUCACUCAGAACACCGAUUGCGAAGGCAUCUGGCGAAUCCGUAACCGACGCUGAGGCACGAAAGUGUGGGGAUAGAACAGGAUUAGAUACCCUGGUAUUCCACGCCGUAAACGAUGAUGGCUAACCGCCGGCGACACACUGUCGGUGGCCAAGCGAAAGCGAUAAGCCAUCCACCUGGGGAGUACGUCGGCAACGAUGAAACUCAAAGGAAUUGACGGGGGCCCGCACAAGCGGAGGAACAUGUGGUUUAAUUCGAUGAUACGCGAGGAACCUUACCCGGGCUCGAACGGCACCUGGAUUGCCCAGAGACGGGCGAGUCUUCGGACAGGUGUCGAGGUGCUGCAUGGUUGUCGUCAGCUCGUGCCGUGAGGUGUCGGCUCAAGUGCCAUAACGAGCGCAACCCUUGCCGCCAGUUGCCAUCAGGUGAUGCUGGGCACUCUGGCGGGACUGCCACCGCAAGGUGUGAGGAGGGGGGGGAUGACGUCAAAUCAGCACGGCCCUUACGUCCGGGGCGACACACGUGUUACAAUGGCGGCCACAGAGGGAUGCUACCCCGCGAGGGGAUGCGGAUCUCGAAAAGCCGUCCCAGUUCGGACUGGAGUCUGCAACCCGACUCCACGAAGUUGGAUUCGCUAGUAAUCGCGCAUCAGCCAUGGCGCGGUGAAUACGUUCCCGGGCCUUGUACACACCGCCCGUCAAG
RNAcentral lists this ribosomal RNA (1396 nucleotides) under uncultured bacterium. RNAcentral describes it as "partial 16S ribosomal RNA". It matches the Rfam family "Bacterial small subunit ribosomal RNA". The record is from RNAcentral.